AGUGAACGCUGGCGGUAGGCCUAACACAUGCAAGUCGAACGGCAGCACAGUAAGAGCUUGCUCUUACGGGUGGCGAGUGGCGGACGGGUGAGGAAUACAUCGGAAUCUACUUUUUCGUGGGGGAUAACGUAGGGAAACUUACGCUAAUACCGCAUACGACCUACGGGUGAAAGCAGGGGAUCUUCGGACCUUGCGCGAUUGAAUGAGCCGAUGUCGGAUUAGCUAGUUGGCGGGGUAAAGGCCCACCAAGGCGACGAUCCGUAGCUGGUCUGAGAGGAUGAUCAGCCACAAUGGAACUGAGACACGGUCCAGACUCCUACGGGAGGCAGCAGUGGGGAAUAUUGGACCAUGGGCGCAAGCCUGAUCCAGCCAUACCGCGUGGGUGAAGAAGGCCUUCGGGUUGUAAAGCCCUUUUGUUGGGAAAGAAAAGCAGCAGGUUAAUACCCCGCUGUUCUGGCGGUACCCAAAGAAUAAGCACCGGCUAACUUCGUG
Molecule: ribosomal RNA, 492 nt
Filed under: uncultured bacterium
Lineage: Bacteria
Description: partial 16S ribosomal RNA
Rfam family: Bacterial small subunit ribosomal RNA
Source: RNAcentral